This 502-nucleotide ribosomal RNA is filed under the name uncultured bacterium. Its description in RNAcentral is "bacterial SSU rRNA". It matches the Rfam family "Bacterial small subunit ribosomal RNA", at positions 32 to 507 of the family's 1533-position model. The record is from RNAcentral.
AACAACGCUGGCGGCGUGCCUAACACAUGCAAGUCGUACGAGAAAGUCGGCUUCGGCCGAUGAGUACAGUGGCGCACGGGUGAGUAGCGCGUGGGUAAUCUGCCCCCCGGUCAGGAAUAACCCGCCGAAAGGCGGGCUAAUACCCGAUAACACUGACGCUCCGCGGAGCGUCUUUCAAAGGAGGCCUCUGUUUACAAGCUUUCGCCGGAGGAUGAGCCCGCGUACCAUUAGCUAGUUGGCAGGGUAAUGGCCUACCAAGGCUGCGAUGGUUAGCUGGUCUGAGAGGAUGGCCAGCCACACUGGAACUGGGACACGGUCCAGACUCCUACGGGAGGCAGCAGUGAGGAAUCUUGCGCAAUGGGGGAAACCCUGACGCAGCAACGCCGCGUGAGUGAGGAAGGCCUUCGGGUCGUAAAGCUCUGUCAGAUGGGAAGAAAUGGGUGGGGGCUAAUAUCGCCCAUCCUUGACGGUACCAUCAGAGGAAGCACCGGCUAACUCCGUG